RNAcentral lists this ribosomal RNA (1506 nucleotides) under Triticum aestivum (bread wheat). RNAcentral describes it as "partial small subunit ribosomal RNA". The record is from RNAcentral. Lineage: Eukaryota; Viridiplantae; Streptophyta; Magnoliopsida; Poales; Poaceae.
AUGAUGGCUCAAGAUAAUACCAAAUUGUGUGACUUUACCAAUACCAACAAUAAUGAUUUCCUUAGCACUCUGAUUGCUCCUCUUACCGUUACUGAAUCUUGUGAAAUCAAUGCUGCUUUGUUGAAUCUUGUCAUGAAAGAUCAAUUCGCCGGCCUUCCUAGUGAAGAUGCCGCUACUCAUCUAAAUAGCUUCGUUGAUUUGUGUGAUAUGCAAAAGAAUAAAGAUAAUGAUAAUGAUAUUGUUAAAUUGAACCUAUUUCCUUUUUCGCUUAGAGAUCGUGCUAAAGCUUGGUUUUCGUCUUUGCCUAAAAAUAGUAUUGAUUCUUGGAACAAGUGCAAAGAUGCUUUUAUCUCUAAGUCUUUUCCUCCCGCUAAGAUCAUCUUUCUUAGAAACGAUAUUAUGAAUUUUAAGCAACUUGAUCAUGAACAUGUUGCACAAGCUUGGGAGACGAUGAAAUUAAUGAUACGUAAUUGCCCUACUCAUGGUUUGAAUUUGUGGAUGAUUAUACAAAAAUUUUAUGCCGGAUUGAAUUUUGCUUCUAGAAAUCUUUUAGAUUCGGCCACGGGAGGCACUUUUAUGGAAAUCACUUUAGGAGAAGCUACUAAACUCCUAGAUAAUAUUAUGGUUAAUUAUUCUCAAUGGCACACUGAAAGAUCUACUAAUAAAAAAGUGCAUGCGGUAGAAGAAAUUAAUGUUUUGAGUGGAAAGAUGGAUGAACUUAUGAAAUUAUUUGCUACUAAGAGUGUUUCUUCUGAUCCUGAUAUGCCUUUGUCUACUUUGAUUGAGAAUAAUAAUGAAUCUAUGGAUGUGAAUUUUGUUGGUAGGAAUAAUUUUGGUAACAACGCGUAUAGAGGAAACUUUAAUCCUAGGCCUUAUCCUAGUAAUUCCUCUAAUAAUUAUGGAAAUUCCUACAACAACUCUUAUGGAAAUUUUAAUAAGAUGCCCUCUGAAUUUGAGACUAGUGUUAAAGAGUUUAUGAAUUCACAAAAGAAUUUCAAUGCUUUGCUUGAAGAGCAAUUGCUUAAAGUUGAUGAAUUGGCUAGGAACGUUGAUAGAAUUUCUCUUGAUGUUGAUUCUUUAAAGCUUAGAUCUAUUCCUCCUAAGCAUGAUAUCAUUGAGUCUCUCAAAGCCAUGAGAAUUUCCAUUGAUGAGUGCAAAGAAAGAACUGCUAGGAUGCGUGCUAAGAAAGAUUGCUUUAUAAAAACGUGUUCUUCAAAUUUCUAUGAAAAUAAAGAUGAAGAUCUAAAAGGUAUUGAUGUGUCCCCUAUUAAAUCUUUGUCUUGCAAUAUGAAUCUUGAUAAUGAUGCGACUGAAUAUGAUCCACCUUUACCUAGAAGGCGUUCCAAAAAUUUGGAGUUUUUAGAUCUUGAUGCUAAAAUUGAUAAAAGUGGGAUUGAAGAAACCAAAACCCUAGUGUUAAUAAACCCACUAUUUUGGAUUUCAAGGAAUUUAAUUAUGAAAAUUGUUCUUCGAUUGAUUGUAUUUCCUUGUUGCAAUCCGUGCUAA